GGGGAUAACUACUGGAAACGGUGGCUAAUACCGCAUAACGUCGCAAGACCAAAGAGGGGGACCUUCGGGCCUCUUGCCAUCAGAUGUGCCCAGAUGGGAUUAGCUUGUUGGUGAGGUAACGGCUCACCAAGGCGACGAUCCCUAGCUGGUCUGAGAGGAUGACCAGCCACACUGGAACUGAGACACGGUCCAGACUCCUACGGGAGGCAGCAGUGGGGAAUAUUGCACAAUGGGCGCAAGCCUGAUGCAGCCAUGCCGCGUGUAUGAAGAAGGCCUUCGGGUUGUAAAGUACUUUCAGCGGGGAGGAAGGUGUUGUGGUUAAUAACCGCAGCAAUUGACGUUACCCGCAGAAGAAGCACCGGCUAACUCCGUGCCAGCAGCCGCGGUAAUACGGAGGGUGCAAGCGUUAAUCGGAAUUACUGGGCGUAAAGCGCACGCAGGCGGUCUGUCAAGUCGGAUGUGAAAUCCCCGGGCUCAACCUGGGAACUGCAUUCGAAACUGGCAGGCUUGAGUCUUGUAGAGGGGGGUAGAAUUCCAGGUGUAGCGGUGAAAUGCGUAGAGAUCUGGAGGAAUACCGGUGGCGAAGGCGGCCCCCUGGACAAAGACUGACGCUCAGGUGCGAAAGCGUGGGGAGCAAACAGGAUUAGAUACCCUGGUAGUCCACGCCGUAAACGAUGUCUACUUGGAGGUUGUGCCCUUGAGGCGUGGCUUCCGGAGCUAACGCGUUAAGUAGACCGCCUGGGGAGUACGGCCGCAAGGUUAAAACUCAAAUGAAUUGACGGGGGCCCGCACAAGCGGUGGAGCAUGUGGUUUAAUUCGAUGCAACGCGAAGAACCUUACCUGGUCUUGACAUCCACAGAACUUUCCAGAGAUGGAUUGGUGCCUUCGGGAACUGUGAGACAGGUGCUGCAUGGCUGUCGUCAGCUCGUGUUGUGAAAUGUUGGGUUAAGUCCCGCAACGAGCGCAACCCUUAUCCUUUGUUGCCAGCGGUCCGGCCGGGAACUCAAAGGAGACUGCCAGUGAUA
RNAcentral lists this ribosomal RNA (1025 nucleotides) under Salmonella enterica subsp. enterica serovar Typhi. RNAcentral describes it as "bacterial SSU rRNA". It matches the Rfam family "Bacterial small subunit ribosomal RNA", at positions 139 to 1160 of the family's 1533-position model. Lineage: Bacteria; Pseudomonadati; Pseudomonadota; Gammaproteobacteria; Enterobacterales; Enterobacteriaceae. The record is from RNAcentral.